RNAcentral lists this ribosomal RNA (496 nucleotides) under uncultured bacterium. Its description in RNAcentral is "partial 16S ribosomal RNA". It matches the Rfam family "Bacterial small subunit ribosomal RNA", at positions 29 to 507 of the family's 1533-position model. The record is from RNAcentral.
AUGCACGCUGGCGGCGUGCCUAAUCCAUGCAAGUCGCGCGCACGGACGAGAAGCUUGCUUCUCUGAUGUUAGCGGCGGACGGGUGAGUAACACGUGGAUAACCUACCUAUAAGACUGGGAUAACUUCGGGAAACCGUAGCUAAUACCGGAUAAUAUUUUGAACCGCAUGGUUCAAAAGUGAAAGACGGUCUUGCUGUCACUUAUAGAUGGAUCCGCGCUGCAUUAGCUAGUCGGUAAGGUAACGGCUUACCAAGGCAACGAUGCAUAGCCGACCUGAGAGGGUGAUCGGCCACACUGGAACUGAGACACGGUCCAGACUCCUACGGGAGGCAGCAGUAGGGAAUCUUCCGCAAUGGGCGAAAGCCUGACGGAGCAACGCCGCGUGAGUGAUGAAGGUCUUCGGAUCGUAAAACUCUGUUAUUAGGGAAGAACAUAUGUGUAAGUAACUGUGCACAUCUUGACGGUACCUAAUCAGAAAGCCACGGCUAACUACGUG